UGGCUUGCUCUCUUUCUUCUAUUUCUUUAUGGAUUUAACCUUCUUUCUUUCAGUAGACUUUCUCUUAAAAGAAGAAGUCCGCUCCACAGCAAAAACAGUACCCCUUGAACUCUUUAAGGUGCCCUCUGUGGUGACCAACAUGUUGACGAGUUUGAAAAUAGUGCAGUCAAGUUUCUUCAUAUAAAAAUUCAUAAUGAAUUGACUAUAUGAACUGGUAAGGGAUUGAAGGAUCAGAUCUAUCGGCAAUUUUUUUUGCAUAUCUAGCCCGAGCUUUCCAAGCUCUUAAAUAUCCUUGAUCACUGUCAUACA
Molecule: long non-coding RNA, 309 nt
Filed under: Elaeis guineensis (African oil palm)
Lineage: Eukaryota; Viridiplantae; Streptophyta; Magnoliopsida; Arecales; Arecaceae
Description: long non-coding RNA (EGUI_LNC067420)
Source: RNAcentral